AACGAACGCUGGCGGCAGGCCUAACACAUGCAAGUCGAGCGAACCCUUCGGGGUUAGCGGCGGACGGGUUAGUAACGCGUGGGAAUAUACCCUUUGGUACGGAAUAGCCUCGGGAAACUGAGAGUAAUACCGUAUGUGCCCUUCGGGGGAAAGAUUUAUCGCCAAAGGAUUAGCCCGCGUUGGAUUAGGUAGUUGGUGGGGUAAUGGCCUACCAAGCCUACGAUCCAUAGCUGGUUUGAGAGGAUGAUCAGCAACACUGGGACUGAGACACGGCCCAGACUCCUACGGGAGGCAGCAGUGGGGAAUCUUAGACAAUGGGCGCAAGCCUGAUCUAGCCAUGCCGCGUGGACGAUGAAGGCCUUAGGGUUGUAAAGUCCCUUCAGAUGGGAAGAUAAUGACGGUACCAUCAGAAGAAGCCCCGGCUAACUCCGUG
RNAcentral lists this ribosomal RNA (433 nucleotides) under uncultured bacterium. Its description in RNAcentral is "bacterial SSU rRNA". It matches the Rfam family "Bacterial small subunit ribosomal RNA", at positions 29 to 507 of the family's 1533-position model. The record is from RNAcentral.